This 253-nucleotide ribosomal RNA is filed under the name uncultured bacterium. RNAcentral describes it as "partial 16S ribosomal RNA". It matches the Rfam family "Bacterial small subunit ribosomal RNA", at positions 524 to 776 of the family's 1533-position model. The record is from RNAcentral.
UACGAAGGGGGCUAGCGUUGCUCGGAAUCACUGGGCGUAAAGGGCGCGUAGGCGGACUUUUAAGUCGGUGGUGAAAUCCUGGAGCUCAACUCCAGAACUGCCUUUGAUACUGAGGAUCUUGAGUUCGGGAGAGGUGAGUGGAACUGCGAGUGUAGAGGUGAAAUUCGUAGAUAUUCGCAAGAACACCAGUGGCGAAGGCGGCGACCUGGGCCAAUAUUGACGCUGAGGUGCGAAAGCGUGGGGAGCAAACAGG